This 762-nucleotide ribosomal RNA is filed under the name uncultured Peptostreptococcus sp. RNAcentral describes it as "bacterial SSU rRNA". It matches the Rfam family "Bacterial small subunit ribosomal RNA", at positions 28 to 776 of the family's 1533-position model. The record is from RNAcentral. Lineage: Bacteria; Bacillati; Bacillota; Clostridia; Peptostreptococcales; Peptostreptococcaceae.
GAUGAACGCUGGCGGCGUGCCUAACACAUGCAAGUCGAGCGAGGGUUUGCUCAGUAUUGAGUAUUCUAAGACUAGAAUGUUCAAUUCUGAGCAAAACCAAGCGGCGGACGGGUGAGUAACGCGUGGGUAACCUGCCCUAUACACAUGGAUAACAUACUGAAAAGUUUACUAAUACAUGAUAAUAUAUAUUUGUGGCAUCGCAGAUAUAUCAAAGUGUUAGCGGUAUAGGAUGGACCCGCGUCUGAUUAGCUAGUUGGUGAGAUAACUGCCCACCAAGGCGACGAUCAGUAGCCGACCUGAGAGGGUGAUCGGCCACAUUGGAACUGAGACACGGUCCAAACUCCUACGGGAGGCAGCAGUGGGGAAUAUUGCACAAUGGGCGAAAGCCUGAUGCAGCAACGCCGCGUGAACGAUGAAGGUCUUCGGAUCGUAAAGUUCUGUUGCAGGGGAAGAUAAUGACGGUACCCUGUGAGGAAGCCCCGGCUAACUACGUGCCAGCAGCCGCGGUAAUACGUAGGGGGCUAGCGUUAUCCGGAUUUACUGGGCGUAAAGGGUGCGUAGGUGGUCCUUCAAGUCGGUGGUUAAAGGCUAUGGCUCAACCGUAGUAAGCCGCCGAAACUGGAGGACUUGAGUGCAGGAGAGGAAAGUGGAAUUCCCAGUGUAGCGGUGAAAUGCGUAGAUAUUGGGAGGAACACCAGUAGCGAAGGCGGCUUUCUGGACUGCAACUGACACUGAGGCACGAAAGCGUGGGUAGCAAACAGG